This 440-nucleotide ribosomal RNA is filed under the name uncultured bacterium. RNAcentral's name for it is "bacterial SSU rRNA". It matches the Rfam family "Bacterial small subunit ribosomal RNA", at positions 954 to 1392 of the family's 1533-position model. The record is from RNAcentral.
GCUUAACGCGAAGAACCUUACCAGGUCUUGACAUCCCUCUGAAUACGCUAGAGAUAGCGUAGGCUCUUCGGAGACAGAGGAGACAGGUGGUGCAUGGCUGUCGUCAGCUCGUGUCGUGAGAUGUUGGGUUAAGUCCCGCAACGAGCGCAACCCUUAUUGUUAGUUGCCAGCGGUUCGGCCGGGCACUCUAAUGAGACUGCCGGUGACAAACCGGAGGAAGGUGGGGAUGACGUCAAGUCAUCAUGCCCCUUAUGACCUGGGCUAUACACGUGCUACAAUGGCCGGUACAGCGCGCAGCGAACCUGCGAGGGUAAGCAAAUCGCUUAAAACCGGUCUCAGUUCGGAUCGGAGUCUGCAACCCGACUCCGUGAAGUCGGAAUCGCUAGUAAUCUCGGGUCAGCAUACCGAGGUGAAUACGUUCCCGGGUCUUGUACACACCG